GCAGGUGUAGUUUAGUGGUAGAACUUCAGCCUUCCAAGCUGACCGUGUGGGUUCGAUUCCCAUCACCUGCUCCA
RNAcentral lists this transfer RNA (74 nucleotides) under Mycoplasmatota bacterium. Its description in RNAcentral is "Tenericutes bacterium (anaerobic digester metagenome) tRNA-Gly". It matches the Rfam family "tRNA". From Rfam's summary of the family: Transfer RNA (tRNA) molecules are approximately 80 nucleotides in length. Their secondary structure includes four short double-helical elements and three loops (D, anti-codon, and T loops). RNAcentral also lists the same sequence under 1 other name. The record is from RNAcentral. Lineage: Bacteria; Bacillati; Mycoplasmatota.